RNAcentral lists this ribosomal RNA (253 nucleotides) under uncultured bacterium. RNAcentral describes it as "partial 16S ribosomal RNA". It matches the Rfam family "Bacterial small subunit ribosomal RNA", at positions 524 to 776 of the family's 1533-position model. The record is from RNAcentral.
UAUGAAGGGGGCUAGCGUUGCUCGGAAUCACUGGGCGUAAAGCGCACGUAGGCGGACUCUUAAGUCAGGGGUGAAAUCCUGGAGCUCAACUCCAGAACUGCCUUUGAUACUGGGAGUCUUGAGUUCGGGAGAGGUGAGUGGAACUGCGGGUGUAGAGGUGAAAUUCGUAGAUAUUCGGAAGAACACCAGUGGCGAAGGCGACACACUGGCUCACUACUGACGCUGAGGCGCGAAAGCGUGGGGAGCAAACAGG